This 91-nucleotide microRNA precursor is filed under the name Gallus gallus (chicken). RNAcentral's name for it is "microRNA 1619 (MIR1619)". Lineage: Eukaryota; Metazoa; Chordata; Aves; Galliformes; Phasianidae. The record is from RNAcentral.
UUGUAAGUCCAGCAGUCUGUAUUGCUACAAAUCCUCUUCUCAGCGUCCAACUCAGAAGAAUUCAUAGCAAUACGGACUGCUGGACUUCUAG